UUAAUAUGGAUUGUAUAUAUAUAUAUUUUAUUAGUACCGAAAGGUAAAUUUAAUCAUAAAUAACUAAAAUUUGGUGUACUUUUUGAAUAACGGUUUCUUUACCCCCGAAGCCAGAAGAUCUAACUUUACUUUUCUUACUAUAUAGAAAAAUAGUCAUCGAAUAGUAAUUUAGGGGUGAAAAGCCUUCAAUUCUGAGGAUAUCUGGAAAAUUAUUAAAGGUAUUUAGUACCAAUACACAAUUUAUUGGUGAUAAGAUCAAUAAAUCAUAGAAUAUUUUUUAUGUUUUUAAUAUUUACUUAAUACUAAUAAAUAUAUCAAGUUCCACAUAAAUUUAUAGACGUAUUUCUCUAAUAAUAAUUCUUUUGAAUUAGAGACUUAUCAUGAGAAAAUUAGUAAAGAUUAUAAAAUAUUAAGAAGGAAUUCGGCAAAUUUAGACCUCGGCUGUUUAUCAAAAACAUAGCUAUAAGAUAGUUGUUUAUAGUAUUACCUGCUCAAUGAUUUAAUUAAAUUGCCGCGGUACUUUGACCGUGCUAAGGUAGCAUAAUCAGUUGUCUUUUAAUUGAAGUCUAGUAUGAAUGGGAAAACGAGGGUUUAACUGUCUCCAUUAUAAUAACCUGAAUUUACUAAGUAGGUGAAAAGGCCUAUAGUAGAUAAAAGACGAGAAGACCCUUAGAAUUUUUAAUAUAUAUUUUUUGUUGGGGCAACGCCUAAUAAAUUUUUACCAUUAGAGCUAUAAUAUGACAGUUAUCUCAUGAGCAAAUAAAUUACCUGAGGGAUAACAGCAUAAUCUAUUAAUUAGGAUUGUGACCUCGAUGUUGGACUAGGAAAAAUAUAGGCUAGCCGUCUUUAUUUGUCAGUUCUGUUCGAACUUUUUCUCCUACAUGAUCUGAGUUCAGACCGGCGUAAGCCAGGUCAGUUUCUAUCUUUUUUAGUUAGGCUUUUAGUACGAAAGGACCAGGGCCAUA
Molecule: ribosomal RNA, 965 nt
Filed under: Odontoglaja guamensis
Lineage: Eukaryota; Metazoa; Mollusca; Gastropoda; Cephalaspidea; Aglajidae
Description: LSU rRNA
Rfam family: Archaeal large subunit ribosomal RNA (bases 433-593)
Source: RNAcentral